GGGACGGGUGAGUAAUGUCUGGGGAUCUGCCCGAUAGAGGGGGAUAACCACUGGAAACGGUGGCUAAUACCGCAUAACGUCGCAAGACCAAAGAGGGGGACCUUCGGGCCUCUCACUAUCGGAUGAACCCAGAUGGGAUUAGCUAGUAGGCGGGGUAAUGGCCCACCUAGGCGACGAUCCCUAGCUGGUCUGAGAGGAUGACCAGCCACACUGGAACUGAGACACGGUCCAGACUCCUACGGGAGGCAGCASWGGGGAAUAUUGCACAAUGGGCGCAAGCCUGAUGCAGCCAUGCCGCGUGUAUGAAGAAGRCCUUCGGGUUGUAAAGUACUUUCAGCGGGGAGGAAGGCGABRSGGUUAAUAACCCCGUCGAUUGACGUUACCCGCAGAAGAAGCACCGGCUAACUCCGUGCCAGCASCCGCGGUAAUACGGAGGGUGCAAGCGUUAAUCGGAAUUACUGGGCGUAAAGCGCACGCAGGCGGUCUGUUAAGUCAGAUGUGAAAUCCCCGGGCUUAACCUGGGAACUGCAUUUGAAACUGGCAGGCUUGAGUCUUGUAGAGGGGGGUAGAAUUCCAGGUGUAGCGGUGAAAUGCGUAGAGAUCUGGAGGAAUACCGGUGGCGAAGGCGCCCCCUGGACAAAGACUGACGCUCAGGUGCGAAAGCGUGGGGAGCAAACAGGAUUAGAUACCCUGGUAGUCCACGCCGUAAACGAUGUCGACUUGGAGGUUGUUCCCUUGAGGAGUGGCUUCCGGAGCUAACGCGUUAAGUCGACCGCCUGGGGAGUACGGCCGCAAGGUUAAAACUCAAAUGAAUUGACGGGGGCCCGCACAAGCGGUGGAGCAUGUGGUUUAAUUCGAUGCAACGCGAAGAACCUUACCUACUCUUGACAUCCACGGAAUUUGGCAGAGAUGCCUUAGUGCCUUCGGGAACCGUGAGACAGGUGCUGCAUGGCUGUCGUCAGCUCGUGUUGUGAAAUGUUGGGUUAAGUCCCGCAACGAGCGCAACCCUUAUCCUUUGUUGCCAGCGAUUCGGUCGGGAACUCAAAGGAGACUGCCGGUGAUAAACCGGAGGAAGGUGGGGAUGACGUCAAGUCAUCAUGGCCCUUACGAGUAGGGCUACACACGUGCUACAAUGGCGCAUACAAAGAGAAGCGACCUCGCGAGAGCAAGCGGACCUCACAAAGUGCGUCGUAGUCCGGAUCGGAGUCUGCAACUCGACUCCGUGAAGUCGGAAUCGCUAGUAAUCGUGGAUCAGAAUGCCACGGUGAAUACGUUCCCGGGCCUUGUACACACCGCCCGUCRCRCCAUGGGAGUGGGUUGCAAAAGAAGUAGGUAGCUUAACCUUCGGGAGGGCGCUUAC
This 1360-nucleotide ribosomal RNA is filed under the name Pantoea agglomerans. Its description in RNAcentral is "bacterial SSU rRNA". It matches the Rfam family "Bacterial small subunit ribosomal RNA", at positions 99 to 1457 of the family's 1533-position model. The record is from RNAcentral. Lineage: Bacteria; Pseudomonadati; Pseudomonadota; Gammaproteobacteria; Enterobacterales; Erwiniaceae.